UGGCGGACGGGUGAGUAAUGUCUGGGAAACUGCCCGAUGGAGGGGGAUAACUACUGGAAACGGUAGCUAAUACCGCAUAAUGUCUACGGACCAAAGCGGGGGACCUCCGGGCCUCGCGCCAUCAGAUGAACCCAUAUGGGAUUAGCUUGUAGGUAAGGUAACGGCUUACUUAGGCGACGAUCCCUAGCUGGUCUGAGAGGAUGACCAGCCACACUGGAACUGAGACACGGUCCAG
Molecule: ribosomal RNA, 235 nt
Filed under: uncultured bacterium
Lineage: Bacteria
Description: partial 16S ribosomal RNA
Rfam family: Bacterial small subunit ribosomal RNA
Source: RNAcentral